GCCCGGGUGGUGGAAUAGGUAGACACUGGGGACUUAAAAUCCCCUGGCUUGAAAAGGCCGUGCCGGUUCGAUUCCGGCCUCGGGCA
This 86-nucleotide transfer RNA is filed under the name Chitinispirillales bacterium. Its description in RNAcentral is "tRNA-Leu". It matches the Rfam family "tRNA". Rfam says of the family: Transfer RNA (tRNA) molecules are approximately 80 nucleotides in length. Their secondary structure includes four short double-helical elements and three loops (D, anti-codon, and T loops). The record is from RNAcentral. Lineage: Bacteria; Pseudomonadati; Fibrobacterota; Chitinispirillia; Chitinispirillales.